RNAcentral lists this long non-coding RNA (866 nucleotides) under Capra hircus (goat). RNAcentral describes it as "lncRNA (ENSCHIG00000005175.1)". Lineage: Eukaryota; Metazoa; Chordata; Mammalia; Artiodactyla; Bovidae. The record is from RNAcentral.
UGCAGAUCUGUACAUUACGCAGUGCCAUUAAUAAAACAAACGGAGUUCUGAUGACUUGAAUUAAACCCUCUGAUUCCUUUUUCUCCCCAGCUGGAUUAACUAAGGAAGAGCUCCAAAUGCUUGAUAAGGAUUUGAUGCCAUAUUUCCAGCCAUCAGCAAUCAAAUGCCUUCCUGAUGAGAUAUUCAAAGAGCUGUCGGCCGAGCAGAUCGCCUCCCUGGGUCCUGAAAACGCGGCGGCGGUGACCCCUGCCCAGCGCCGGCAGCUCAGCAUGUUGCAGCUGCAGAGCCUCCAGCGGGCGGUAGAUGGCGCCAAGGCUCGCUCCUGGCUGGACGCGCCUCCGAGCGCCAGCCCCGCCCGGACCCCCUCCUCUCUUUCUCCUCCAGGUAAGCGGGACGGACCCAGCCGCACUUCCCACUCCCAAUCCCCUUUCCUCGUCUCUCGGUCCGCCUCGCCUGACAUGGGACAGCAAGAAGGCUCCUAAAAUUCAGGGUGGGGUCUCUGACGGUCUUUGAAGAUCCUGCAUUCAGAGAAAAACCCACAGUCCGUACCAAGCUUAUGUAAAGAAUGGUCAACUCCGGAGCACUUGCAAGUCUUGGGAUGGGGGGAACUCUUAAAAAUUGGCAGCCCCACGGGCCCCACCCAGAACCCACUGAAUCAGAAUUUCUCAGGCCCUUUCAGUGGUUCCUUUGCUCCUCCGUCCUUCUCACCGUCCAGGAUUAAUAAAUUCAGUCGAUAUAUUUUGGGUACCUACUGUGUGCUAAGCCUGCUGUAGGAGCUGGUGAGUAAGGCAGGUGAGGCUCUCUCGUAAUGAACAAGGAGAUUUCAAAUCUGAUUAAGACCAGGGAAGGAAAGCAGCAGAAGGAAG